UAUAACAUGAAUUUUACUCGGUUGUUUAGCAUAUAAGAUUCUGGAGUAACUCUUUCUUUCCCAAGAUGAGGAAUUUUGGACAACUUGGUUAGGUGCAGUUUGUUAUGAUGAUCUGUUUCAUCGGCCCAAGAACUCCUCUGGUAUUAAGGUAGAAGAUUAAAUUGGGACGUUUCAUAUUGAGCACAACAUGAUAUUGCAAAUUGGUGUAGUAUUGCUUUAAUUUUGUCAUCUCUACUAUAAGAAAGACUUCAUAUUUAUAUCUUUUUGAUACUCAUCAACUAUUAUGCAAGACAACUAUGAUUGUGUAUUUUUUUGGGAUAGUGUUGGAACAUGAGUAUGAAGCAUUUAAGAUUCCCGAAUACAUCUCUUUGCCAUCCCCAAGGAUGAGGAACUGGACAAGCUUGGUUUGCACUUUUUUGUUCUUUUGACUUUUCAUUUAUGGAUUGGUUAUGAAGAAUUCUUUGCACAAUUUAUCGGAUAAAAUUCUUUAUUGGAUAAUCAAAAUAUGUGUUAAUCCGUUUUGCAGAUAUAUGAAGUCAUUGGAUAUAUGAACAUUUUGUGAUUGCUUUUAUGAGAAUUUCACACCAUCAAACUUCUCUUGACUCUUCUUUAACUGAUCAAAAUUUUGUUUUGUAUAAUUCUUCGUUUGAAAAUCAAGAGAUGCGAAGUUUCGAUGUUUAGAAUGACUUGAUACAAAGGACAAGAAUGGAGAAGAUAAAUCAAAUUUCUUCAAUGAGUCGUUCUAUACUAUUUUUAUUUAAUUUUGGCCUUUGAUUUCAAGACGUAGGAAUUGAAGUUUGAACAUAUUUUUCUAGUUUGUCAAAAUAAUAACCUUCUAAUUUGUGAUUGUGCUUGGCUGGUUAUACUUGUUAUCGUGCUUCCAUUCGGAAAUCUCUUUUCUGACUAUGAAUUUUUCAUGUUUCUUUGUUUGUUUUGAGGAUCAAUACUUAAUUCCUUCAUCAGUUUCUGUGGUGUUACAAGGGUGAGAGACUAUGAAUUACUGUGCGACUUGAAAGCUGUGGUAGACAUUAUUAAGGAAAAGCUUUGAGCCUUUGGAUAUAGCGGGUCAAUUUUCCUUGAAUUUACUUGUUCUGGAAUAGGUGUCCUAUGAUUUUUAUGUUCACAAUUACAAGUCUUAAUAUUUGGAGAGCUUUAGUAAUUAUGAUUUUAUAGUACAUAUCUAUCUCUUUCUUGGAUUAUCUCCAGAUAUACAUCUAUUUUGCAGUGAGUUGAAGUUUGAUAUAAUAAAGGAGAGUGAAGAUAAAUCAUGUUUCUUCAAUGAAUCAUUCUUUACUAUUUUUUACUUUCGAGCUUUGUUCAUAUGACAUACAAACUCAAAUUGCGAAUAUACUUUUCUGCAGCAUGGUUUGGCGAAAUCCUAGCGUAGAGCCUCGUGUUUUGAUUUGGAGAUCUCUAGUAAAUUCUUUUUAUUUCAGUGUUUCAUUAUUGAUUCUAGGACGAUAUAUUUCUUUAUGUUACUUUUCUCUAUGGUUUUGCAGGAGAGGUUGUUUAUAAACACACAUUUGGUUCUGGUUCUAUUCUCUCACUAUUUUUUCUUUUGUACUCUGGUCUCUUGAUGUUGAGGUUUGAUUUGGUGGUUGCUAGUUAAUACUAAAAAUAUAAGAAUAUUGAGAUAUUUGUUUAUCUAUUUUGCAGCAAGUUGGAUUUUGGAUAUAUGAAACAAUUUGCGAUUAAUGGAUAAGAACGAUUAUGGCUAUAUACAUAAUCAAAUUUCAUCAAUAAGUCGUUCUUUAUUACUUUUAGUUUUGGGCUUUGAUUGCAAAGACAUACAAAUUGAAUUGUGAAUUUGUUUUUCUGCAGCAGCGUGGUUUGUGAAAAUCAAAAUAAUAACUAUCUUUCAUCAUAGCGUGGAGCCUUCAUGUUUUGAUUUUCUUAUCUCUCUUAAAUUAUUUUAGUUUUCAAUAACUCUAUUGCUUUUGAAUGCAUAUUUUCUUGAUAUUUUAUUUCCUCUGAUGUUGCAGGAAAGUAAUUUGUGAACACCGAUUCCUUUUGGUUCUGGUUCUAUCUUUUUUUUAUUAAUCUUCAUGUUUUGUAUUCUUAUUUACUUUUGGUCUUUUGAUUUAGUUCUGCGCUUUGUGCUACUUCUUUAUCCAUGCUUCUCAUUCAUUCUUGGGAUUUAAUUGGUCUUUUUUUUUUAUUAUAUGUAUUUGUUCCCAAAUAAUAGUCUUUGAUCGUGUUCAAGCUGAUGUUUUUUUUUGUGUUUCCUCUAGUGUUGAAGUUUUGUGUUUCGGUAUCCACAGCCUUGAGUAUUACUCUGUCAUAGGGUACAAGAUUCUGAAAUAUCUCUCUUUGCCUUCCCAAGUUGAGAAAUUUUGGACAAUUUCGUUACGUCAUGUGUUGUUUGCUUUGAUGGUUUGUUAGUUGGUGACAAAAUAACUUUGUUGGGAAAGGUUUUCUAUAAUUUUCUCUUGUUGCUUUUAUUUUGAUUUGUGAUUUAAGAUUAAUGCGAUGAUACUCCUAAAAAGAUAUCCUCUUCAUUACAGUGGCCUAAGGGCAAGACUUUGGCACCAAGGUACACAAUUCAAUCACUUUUUACUUCACUCCUUCUUGAUGACAUACUGACUUGAGCGUUGGAGUGCUAACAUGUUUUGCAGGUAUCUUUCUCCCCACCGUGAUCCACCGUACCACAAAUCUAACGCCACCGUAACUGCCUUAAGCCUCACCAUUGGAGUUAUCUCAUUCUGAUCUGGUCAGAAUAGAUAAAUCAAUUUAAUAUCUUUUUACUAUUUUUUAGGAUUUGAUUUUAAGCAAAUUGAAUUAAGAACAUGUUUUUGUGCUGCGUUGGUUGUCAAAAUUCAAAAUAUUAACCUUCUUCAUAACAUGUAGAUGGAGCCAGAAUUUUGAUUUGGUGAUAGCAUGUUUUUCUGCAACCUUUCUUAAUAGCAUGGUUUGUGUAUACAAUAUGAAUUCAUUGAGGAGAAGACAAAAAGAUAUUCUAAGAUACUUUAAAAUAAUAUCAAAGAUACUAAAGAUAUUUUUGGAUAUUUUAACGGUUUGAAUCUUCAUGUUAUGUAAUCUUUUGAGGUUUUAUUUGGUUGUUGGUUUUGAUCUUAAAGUUUGCUGUUCUAUUUUUAUUGAUCUGCUACUAUAAUUAAGUUUCUUUUGUCAAUUGUUUUGUGAAACAGAUGCAUGAUAUGAUUAUCACCUCUUGUUGAAUUGUGAAUUGAAAACAUGUAACUUCUAUUAUGAAGCAAUCAGGUUUAAUUUCGUACAUACUUCUUGGAUUGUGAAUUAUUUUCAAUUCAUUUAUACUCUGUGGAUUUUUAUUGUGCAAUCUUCUCUACAAGUUUAUUGAGGUGUGAAUUAUGUUGGUAUUGAAAAGUUCAGUUGUAGGGUUUCUUUGUGCCAUCAAUACAUUUAAGUUUUUGACUUGUAUAAUUUGACUGUGUGAAAGUUACAAAAUUCUGGAUAAAUUGGGAGUGAACAGCUUUGUGGAGCUCUCUUCCUAACUAUGAUCUUCUGAUCAGGGACUUUUAUUCAUAGAUUUUUCUACAUGUAUUUGUCACAUCGUGAUUUUAUUAUUCUUUGUUUGUUCAAGAUGGUGUUGAUCGUGCAUCCAGAACCUUUGUACUACUCUAGCAUAGAUUACAUGAUUUUGGAAUGACUCUUUGGCCUUCCCAAGAUGAGGAAUUUUGGACAACUGAAUAUAAAUUUGAUUCUGAUGAUUUGUUCUUGGUGAUAGCUUAACUUUGUUGGGGGAGGUUUUCUAAAUCUCCAUAACUGUUUUGUUGUUUUUAUUGUGAUUUAUGAUGAUGAUUUGAUGAUGAUACUCCUAAAAAGAUACCCUAUUUAUUAUAGUGGCCAAAGGACUCUGCUGUAUUUGGAAGAAGCCAAAAUCAUGUCAUUUCAUAUGGUUACAAUGAUCUUGCAAUGAUCUUACAAAUUGGAUGGAAAUUUAGUCAACUCUUCCAAGACUCUUCUUUACAUUUUAGUGUUAUUUUUAUACUCAACACAGAAAAGUUCAGUUCCUUUGAGUUUUCUUUGUUGUUGUUAUAGGGGAGAGAGCCUAUAAAUGGGUGGUUCACUGUGGAACCCAUGGCAGCCAGAGGUUGACAUACUGUUCAGCUUGGGAUUUUGGAUAGUGUCAGAGUUUUUGUGUAUAUGUAUCAGAAAUGUAAGUAUGAAUGAAGCAAUAAUGAGGAAUUUUGGUUUGGUUCCAGAAUCUGCAAUUGGCUAGCUGUUUCAUUUGGUUAUCUCUACUCUGACUAUGCAUUCUUCAUGUUUCUUUGUAUAUUUUGAGGAUAUAGUUUUCUUGAUUCUAAGGACCUGUUUUUGCUGUACUGUCGGAUUUGAAAGCUUUAAGCCUUUGGAUUCAACGGGUUACUUUUUUCUUUGAGUGUUUGUUCUGGAAUAGGAGGUGUCCUAGUAUGAUGUGGCAGUGCUGGUAUUUAUUUAUGUUUAGAAUUAUGAAUCUAAGUAUUAGCAGUGCAUCUCUUUCUUGGAUAAUCAAGAUAUAAGCCUAUUUUGCAGUGAGUUGAACGUUUGUAGAUACUUGAUGCAUUUUGUAGUGAGCUGGUUGAUUUUUGAUUUCUGGAUAUCUGGAACAAUUUGCAAUUAUUGAUGAUAAUGGCUACAGAUACAUAGAUCAAGUUUCUUCAAUGAAGUCGUUCUUUAUUAUUUUUAAUUUUGAGCUUUCAUUGUAAGAUACAAAUUGAAUUGUGAGCUUAUUUUUCUGCAGUGUGGUUUGUCAAAAUAAUGAUGUUUAUUCAUCAUAGCAUGGAGCCUGAAGUUUUGGUUUGCCUAUUUCUUUUUAAAACAUACUUUUUUGAUAUUUUAUUGCCUCUGGUGAUGCAGGGACGAUAAUAAUUUUCUUUCUCUUGUUUGAUCUUCCAGUUUUGUAAUUCUGGUUAUUUUCUCUGGUCUUUUGAUUGUGAGGUUUGAUUUGGUUCUGGCUUUAAUGCAUGUUAUUUUCUGCAGUGAAGUGUGUUUUGAAACAAUAACAUUUUGUUAGCAUCAAGCCUCAGGUUUAUUUGGUCUACUUGGAAUGUGAAUUAUUUUCAUUUCAUUUUUUCUCUGCCGAUUCUUAUUGUCUAGUCUUCUGGAUUUUUUUUUCUAGGCUUUAAUUUGUCAUCUGUACUCAUAUUUGAAUUCUUUACAUUUCAUUAUAUUUGUUUCAGCAUCCACGCUUCUUGAUUGCUUUGUGAAAGCUUAUGGUGAGGUUAUCACAUACUUUUCCUUUUUUAACUUUGGGUGAGUUUUACUCGGUCUUUUAGCAUAUAAGAUUCUGGACUAACUCUUCCUUUCCCAAGAUGAGGAAUUUUGGACAACUCGAUUAGGUUCAGUUUCUUAUGAUGAUCUGUUUCAUCGGCCGAAGAACUCCUUUGCUAUUAAGGUAGAAGCUUAAAUUGGGACGUUUCAUAUUGAGCACAGCAUGAUAUUGCAAAUUGGUGUAGUAUGCUUUAAUUUGGUCAUCUUUGCUAUAAUAAAAACUUCAUACUGAUAUCAUUUUGAUACUCAUCAACUUUAUGCGAGACAAAUGUGUCCUGCCAAUACUGGAGUUUAUAUUGUUUUCAUAUCAGGAUUAAAGCAUCCAAGAUUUGAAGUAUAUCUUUAUGCGCAUGCUGACAGCUUGGUUCUGUUAAUUUGCCACUUCCUUUGAAAGUGAGGAAACCCAAAUAAUUGUCAUUUAAGAUGGAGCACCAAUCUGUAAUUGGCUGUGCCAUAUGUUCUCACUGUCAUGAUGCAAAGAUUUGGUGAUCUCUACUCUGGCUAUGAAUUCUUCAUGUUUCUAUUUCUCAAGGAUUUAGUUUUCUUGAUUCUUUAAGUUUCAUGUGGGUGUCACAGGUAGGAUAUGGAUAUAUGGACUGCGAAAGCGGUGGCGGGAAUAUGACUUUUGCUGUGUUACUGUGGAAUUAUCUAUCAAUGUGAUGUGGUAAUGUUGAUUUGUGUGUGUUGUUUAUUAGGAAUCUAAGUAUUAGGAGAGCUUUAAAAUGUAUAAUUUUGUUGUAUGUCUGUUUCAAGGUGAGGAGUUGAAUAUAUAUGACCAUGGGCUCUUCGUUGAAUUUUUUUUUCUUUCUUUUUUCAGGCUUUGUUCUGGGUUUCUGUGUUGAAACAAAUGCUUAAGUUUUUUAAUAUGGUGACAAUUAUUGGAUUUUAAGUCAAUUUUACUUGAUUGGUUCUCUGUUGAUUCUUGUUGUUUUUUCUUCUCGAUUUACAGGAGAGAAAUAAAUGAAUGUGUGACUGGCGGAGAUUAUUAUUGGUUGGGGUUUGCUUUAAUACUAUUUUUUAAGCCUUAACCUUUAUUUUCUUACAAUUGCUUGUCCUGCAUUUGUUUUUCAUGUUUAGAAUCUGUGUAUAUUUUUCACUACUCAACUCGGGCCAUGAUUGGUGAACAAGUUAAUACUGACUCAUCUCUCUAAAUAUACUGUUACAUAUAUUAAUGUAACCUUGGAAGUGGCAAUUAAUCAUCAAGAACUAACUUAUUAUUUGUACAACUAAAACGAGAAGAAUGAUUCUUAUUCCUAUAUAUGGAUGCAUCAUACUGAAAUCACAAUAUAAUAGUACUUAUUCAAGAUAGAGGCCUACUACAUUGAUUCUUAGAGCUAUAUUUUCUUUGAUUUUUUGAUCCGUUGACUAGAUUGUUUGCUCUGUCGAGGCUAUAAACAAAUUUACAUUUGUGUAUUUGUUUUGGGAUACUCAGUAUCUACUUUUACAGUUCCUUUGAGUUUUCUGUGUGGGAGAGAGGUACACAUACUUUCCGUCCAGUCUAUAAAUGCGUGGUUUGCUAGGGAUCAAGUGUCAGAAAAAGGUUCACAUACUUCCAUUCAGCCUUGGGAUAAACAAUCGUUUUACUUACAUGUGUAUUUUUGUUGGGAUAGUGUUUCAGAUUCCAGAGUUACAUCUCUUUGCCAUCCCCAAGGAUGAGGAACUGAACAAGCUUGGUUUGCACUUUUUUGUUCUUUUGACUCCUCGUUUAUGGAUUGGUUAUGAAGAAUUCUUUGCACAAUUUAUUGGAUAAAAUUCUUUAUUGGAUAAUCAAGAUAUGUGUUAAUCCGUUUUGCAGCGAAAUGAAGUCUUUGUAUUUUGUGAUUCUUGAUUAAAUGGAUAAGAACAGAUAACAUUUCCAGAUAAAUCAAUUUUCUUCAAUGAGUCAUUCUUUAUAAUUUCUAUUUAUUUGCUUGGAUGGCAAGACAUGCGAAUUGAUUAGUGAAAAUGUUUUUCUGCAGCGCACGGCUUCUUCAUAGCAUGGAGCCUAGAGUUUUAAUUUGGUGAUCUCUAGUAAAUUCUUUUUGUUUCAAUCUUUACUGAUUAUGAGAGCAUAUAUUUCAUGAUUUGUUAUUUAUUCUUUUGUGUUGCAGGUGAGGAUGUGAUUUUGAUAUACAUAUUGAUAUGCUUUCAUGAGAAUUUCAUACCAUAAAACUUUUCUUGACUCUUCUUUAACCGAU
Molecule: long non-coding RNA, 7406 nt
Filed under: Trifolium pratense (red clover)
Lineage: Eukaryota; Viridiplantae; Streptophyta; Magnoliopsida; Fabales; Fabaceae
Description: long non-coding RNA (TPRA_LNC000382)
Source: RNAcentral